AACCUAGCACACCUGCGGUGUGUACCUGCGGAGGGAUCAUUACCGAGUUUACAACUCCCAAACCCCUGUGAACAUACCUAUAAUUUGCCUCGGCGGACUCAACGACGGUGCUCCGAGAAAUCGGGCGCCGCUCGCUGCCAGAGGAACCCCAAACUCUAUGUAUUCUUGUGGAUCUUCUGAGUAAAACAAAACAAAUAAAUCAAAACUUUCAACAAUGGAUCUCAGAUCGGAAGAGCACAC
Molecule: unclassified non-coding RNA, 240 nt
Filed under: soil metagenome
Description: partial contains 5.8S ribosomal RNA, internal transcribed spacer 2, and large subunit ribosomal RNA
Source: RNAcentral